RNAcentral lists this small RNA (98 nucleotides) under Klebsiella pneumoniae. RNAcentral describes it as "StyR-44". It matches the Rfam family "Salmonella enterica Typhi npcRNA 44". Lineage: Bacteria; Pseudomonadati; Pseudomonadota; Gammaproteobacteria; Enterobacterales; Enterobacteriaceae. The record is from RNAcentral.
CUUUAAAAAUCUGGAUCAAGCUGAAAAUUGAAACGACACACAGACAAUGUGUGUUCGAGUCUCUCAAAUUUUCGCAAUCAGAAGUGAAACAUCUUCGG